Molecule: transfer RNA, 70 nt
Filed under: uncultured Ectothiorhodospira sp.
Lineage: Bacteria; Pseudomonadati; Pseudomonadota; Gammaproteobacteria; Chromatiales; Ectothiorhodospiraceae
Also listed under: 1 other name
Rfam family: tRNA
About the family: Transfer RNA (tRNA) molecules are approximately 80 nucleotides in length.
Source: RNAcentral
CCAGGUAGCUCAGUUGGUAGAGCAGGGGAUUGAAAAUCCCCGUGUCGGCGGUUCGAUUCCGUCCCUGGCC